AUCGGCAUUGCUGAUGAGCGCUGAAAACCUUCUACGCUCGCAAAUGCCGCCGCUGCUUUUAACCUUUGACCAUGGAUGUACCGGCACUGGUGGACAAAGCGGCGAUGAGAGAGGUCGGAGCAACAUAGCCCCGGCCUUUUUUCGUC
This 146-nucleotide small RNA is filed under the name bioreactor metagenome. RNAcentral describes it as "Alphaproteobacterial sRNA ar35". It matches the Rfam family "Alphaproteobacterial sRNA ar35". The record is from Rfam by way of RNAcentral.